Triticum urartu is the source of this 126-nucleotide non-coding RNA. Lineage: Eukaryota; Viridiplantae; Streptophyta; Magnoliopsida; Poales; Poaceae. The record is from Rfam.
GUGGUACUCCCUCCGUCCGGAAAUACUUGUCUAAGGAAUGAAUGUAUUUAGAUGUAUUUUAGUUCUAGAUACAUCCAUUUGUAUCCAAUUUUUACGACAAGUAUUUCCGAACGGAAAAAGUACAUA